UUAGACUCAGUUGGUUUACCCGACUAAGUUUUUGCCAGAGCAAAAAUUUUGACGGGUGAAGAGCGCUUCGUUUACAUCGAAGAGGUCGUAGGUUCAAGCCCUACAGUGGCCA
Molecule: transfer RNA, 112 nt
Filed under: Patescibacteria group bacterium
Lineage: Bacteria
Description: tRNA-Val
Source: RNAcentral